This 800-nucleotide ribosomal RNA is filed under the name uncultured bacterium. RNAcentral describes it as "bacterial SSU rRNA". It matches the Rfam family "Bacterial small subunit ribosomal RNA", at positions 684 to 1479 of the family's 1533-position model. The record is from RNAcentral.
AAAUGCGCAGAUACCGGAAGGAACGCCAAUAGCGAAAGCAGCUACCUGGACGAUAUGUGACGCUGAGGCGCGAAAGCGUGGGGAGCAAACCGGAUUAGAUACCCGGGUAGUCCACGCCCUAAACGAUGAGUGCUGGGUGUCCGACAGCUGUUGGGUGCCGAAGCUAACGCGUUAAGCACUCCACCUGGGAAGUACGGUCGCAAGACUGAAACUCAAAGGAAUUGACGGGGGCCCGCACAAGCGGUGGAGCAUGUGGUUUAAUUCGAAGCAACGCGCAGAACCUUACCAGGUCUUGACAUGUACGGAACCCGGAUGAAAGUUCGGGGUGCCUGCGAGGGAGCCGUAACACAGGUGCUGCAUGGUCGUCGUCAGCUCGUGUCGUGAGAUGUUGGGUUAAGUCCCGCAACGAGCGCAACCCUUGUUGCUAGUUGCCAGCGGUUCGGCCGGGCACUCUAGCGAGACUGCCUACGAAAGUAGGAGGAAGGCGGGGAUGACGUCUGAUCCGCAUGGCCCUUACGACCUGGGCGACACACGUGCUACAAUGCCGCGCACAAAGCGACGCUACUUGGUAACAAGACGCCAAUCGCCGAAAACGCGGCUCAGUUCGGAUUGGGGUCUGCAACUCGACCCCAUGAAGCUGGAAUCGCUAGUAAUCGCGGAUCAGCCAUGCCGCGGUGAAUACGUUCCCGGGCCUUGUACACACCGCCCGUCAAGCCAUGGGAGUGGGUUUUGCCUGAAGUCGCCGGGAGCUUGCGCCGUCACUGGCGCGGCAGGCGCCUAGGGUAAGGCUCAUGACUGGG